This 292-nucleotide ribosomal RNA is filed under the name uncultured bacterium. RNAcentral describes it as "partial 16S ribosomal RNA". The record is from RNAcentral. RNAcentral also lists the same sequence under 1 other name.
GGACUACAAGGGUUUCUAAUCCUGUUUGCUCCCCACGCUUUCGUGCCUGAACGUCGGUGCUGGACCAGGAAGCCGCUUUCGCCACUGGUGUUCCUUCCGAUAUCUACGCAUUUCACCGCUACACCGGAAAUUCCGCUUCCCUCUUCCGCACCCUAGCUAUGCAGUCUCGGAUGCCAUUCCCAGGUUGAGCCCGGGGCUUUCACAUCCGACUUACUUAACCGUCUACGCACGCUUUACGCCCAGUAAUUCCGAUUAACGCUUGCACCCUCUGUAUUACCGCGGCGGCUGGCAC